Molecule: non-coding RNA, 49 nt
Filed under: Schistosoma margrebowiei
Lineage: Eukaryota; Metazoa; Platyhelminthes; Trematoda; Strigeidida; Schistosomatidae
Source: RNAcentral
GUCCAGCUGACGAGUCUCAAAUAGGACGAAACGUGCGUCUAUACUGGAU